Long non-coding RNA from Rhodamnia argentea, 349 nucleotides. RefSeq lists it as uncharacterized. The transcript is spliced from 2 exons. The record is from RefSeq and is a predicted model, not a curated record. Lineage: Eukaryota; Viridiplantae; Streptophyta; Magnoliopsida; Myrtales; Myrtaceae.
UUUGGUAUGUUGUCAAUAAUUACAAUAAACAAUUCAAAAAUGCCGAAGGGAAAAGACUUGUUGAGAUGGCGGCUUACGAGAAUCAACAAUGGAAGUUCCAACACAUCAUGAGCCGAAUUAGGGAGUGGGAUUGACAAACAGAUGACUGGUGUGACUAGAUUCGAAGGGAGAAAUGGAUGAAGGCUUAUGAUGGCAAGAAGAGAUAUGGAUCGAUGAUAAAGAAUUUAAUUGAAUCGGUUAAUGGGAUGUUGAAGGAUUUUCGUGCUCGGCCAAUAACAGCUAUGGUGGAUAAGAUAUUCUACCGGUUGGUCCACUGUUUUGACAUGCGAAGAACGACAUACGGGAGGCA